GAUGAACGCUAGCGGCAGGCUUAAUACAUGCAAGUCGUGGGGCAGCAGGUUUGUAGCAAUACAGAUGCUGGCGACCGGCAAACGGGGUGCGGAACACGUACAGAACCUUCCUUUGAGCGGGGAAUAGCCCAGAGAAAUUUGGAUUAAUACCCCAUAGUAUAAUGAAGUGGCAUCACUUUAUUAUUAAAGAUUUAUCACUCGAAGAUGGCUGUGCGGCUGAUUAGGUAGUUGGCGGGGUAAAGGCCCACCAAGCCUGCGAUCAGUAACUGGUGUGAGAGCACGACCAGUCACACGGGCACUGAGACACGGGCCCGACUCCUACGGGAGGCAGCAGUAAGGAAUAUGGUCAAUGGAGGCAACUCUGAACCAGCCAUGCCGCGUGGAGGAUGAAGGUCCUCUGGAUUGUAAACUUCUUUUAUAUGGGACGAAAAAGG
RNAcentral lists this ribosomal RNA (434 nucleotides) under uncultured bacterium. Its description in RNAcentral is "bacterial SSU rRNA". It matches the Rfam family "Bacterial small subunit ribosomal RNA", at positions 28 to 454 of the family's 1533-position model. The record is from RNAcentral.